RNAcentral lists this unclassified non-coding RNA (338 nucleotides) under soil metagenome. RNAcentral's name for it is "partial contains 5.8S ribosomal RNA, internal transcribed spacer 2, and large subunit ribosomal RNA". The stretch from base 1 to 120 matches the Rfam family "5.8S ribosomal RNA", at positions 35 to 154 of the family's 154-position model. The record is from RNAcentral.
GAUGAAGAACGUAGCGAAAUGCGAUAAGUAGUGUGAAUUGCAGAAUUCAGUGAAUCAUCGAAUCUUUGAACGCUCAUUGCGCCGUUUGGUAAUCCUUAGGGCAUGCCUGUUCGAGCGUCAUUUGAAACCUCAAGCUCAGCUUGGUAUUGGGUGUCUGUCCCCGCCUCACCGCGGGGACUCGCCUCAAAAUCAUUGGCGGCCGGUACGUUGGCUUCGAGCGCAGCAGAAACGCGAACUCGAGGCCCGGCGGAUCGGCGACCAGAAGUCACUUCUUCACAGUUUGACCUCGGAUCAGGUAGGGAUACCCGCUGAACUUAAGCAUAUCAAUAAGCGGAGGA